Molecule: non-coding RNA, 112 nt
Organism: Acanthosepion pharaonis
Lineage: Eukaryota; Metazoa; Mollusca; Cephalopoda; Sepiida; Sepiidae
Source: the annotation of a GenBank genome assembly
UACGGACAUAUCAUAUUGAAACACCUGUUCCCGUACUAUCACCGAAGUUAAGCAAUGUCGAGCCUGGUCAGUAUGUACAUGGGUGACCCCUUAGGAAUGCCAGGUUUUGCAA